Hibiscus syriacus is the source of this 694-nucleotide long non-coding RNA. RefSeq lists it as uncharacterized. The record is from RefSeq and is a predicted model, not a curated record. The transcript has 4 exons. NCBI's taxonomy places the organism in Eukaryota, Viridiplantae, Streptophyta, Magnoliopsida, Malvales, Malvaceae.
UUUCUCUCUUUUCUUCUUUUUCCUCUAUUUCUUGUUAGUUUUGGAGAUAGCUUGUGAGAGACAAAAGUGUUCAUCUCUUCAUUUCAUUCAAGAUGGGUACAAGAAUCAAGAUUUUGAAUGAGUUAUGUUCGAGCCCUAAGUUUAUCCAUGAAAGUUUUAGUGAGAGAGUUUUGGGGUUUGAAAUGCUUAGAUAGAAUGAAGAGUGAUGAGUAACUCUCUUCCACCUCCAAGGUUGUAUUCUCUUAAUGCAAGUGAAGAAAUCAAAUUAAGGGAGAAGUAAUUAUUAGAGAGUCUUGUGGAAGCUAAAAGGCGAAGCAUGAAUGUAUCUUUUGAGGGAGAACCGCAACAUUUUUAAUGAAGGUAUUAGAUGCUUGCUUGAGGGAAGACUUAUGGUAAGUCGACCGGUUCUUUAUUAUGAUGAUGCAUGAUGACAGGGAAGCUUGAGGUUCAAGUUUUGGGGAUCACAAUGGGAUAAUGAUGCUAUGAGAGAAGUCUCAGUGGGAGUAUCAGAGUACGACGAUGAGGACUUUAAGUGGGCAUGUAGAGAUUAUAAAUUUAUUCGAGUUGGUUGUAAAUUGUUUGUUAGGUAUUUCAAUUUUCAAAUAAAGGAGUUUCACCCUUUCCUAAAUGUUUAUAUUUUUUUUAUAAUGACAUUAUUAGUUUUUAAACCUUUCAAGUAAACUGCAUUUUUUGA